UACAGAAGCCCCGAGCGUUACCCGGAUUCACUGGGCGUAAAGGGUGCGUAGGCGGUUAUAUUAGUCAGGUGUUAAAUCUUCUCGGCUCAACCGGAAGGCUGCAUUUGAAACGGUAUAACUAGAAGAAAUGAGAGGUGUACGGAACUCACGGUGUAGGGGUGAAAUCCGUUGAUAUCGUGGGGAACACCAAAUGCGAAGGCAGUACACUGGCAUUUUCUUGACGCUGAGGCACGAAAGCGUGGGUAGCGAAUGGG
Molecule: ribosomal RNA, 254 nt
Filed under: uncultured bacterium
Lineage: Bacteria
Description: partial 16S ribosomal RNA
Rfam family: Bacterial small subunit ribosomal RNA
Source: RNAcentral